GACGAACGCUGGCGGCGUGCUUAACACAUGCAAGUCGAACGGAAAGGCCCUGCUUUUGUGGGGUGCUCGAGUGGCGAACGGGUGAGUAACACGUGAGUAACCUGCCCUUGACUUUGGGAUAACUUCAGGAAACUGGGGCUAAUACCGGAUAGGAGCUCCUGCUGCAUGGUGGGGGUUGGAAAGUUUCGGCGGUUGGGGAUGGACUCGCGGCUUAUCAGCUUGUUGGUGGGGUAGUGGCUUACCAAGGCUUUGACGGGUAGCCGGCCUGAGAGGGUGACCGGCCACAUUGGGAUUGAGGUACGGCGCAGACUCCUACGGGAGGCAGCAGUGGGAAGUAUUGCACAAUGGGCGGGAGCCUGAUGCAGAAACGCCGCGUGCGGGAUGACGGCCUUCGGGUUGUGAACCGCUUUCGCCUGUGACGAAGCGUGAGUGACGGUAAUGGGUAAAGAAGCACCGGCUAACUACGUG
Molecule: ribosomal RNA, 468 nt
Filed under: uncultured bacterium
Lineage: Bacteria
Description: partial 16S ribosomal RNA
Rfam family: Bacterial small subunit ribosomal RNA
Source: RNAcentral